CAGGAAGUAAGGAGAACCAUCAGGAAGGCCGGGACCACCUAGAGAAGGAAAAGGAAACAGAUGAGACCAGUGAGGGGGUUUAAGAUGGUAUCAGUCCUAGAAAGGAUCUGUAGAUCUUCUUGAGUGUCACAAGCCAGUCGUGUUGACUGGCAAAACUAUUUUAAUCCUAGACUAAGUAUUUUUUUUUAAUGAUGCAUAUUCCAAAAAGUAAAUACUUGUGACGCCAGUGGAUACCUGCAGAACAAUCAGGAGGAGGUAUCUCUCUAAAAUUGUGGCACCAGAACUUAAAGAAUCUUACAGCAGGGAGAACAUGAAGAAAAAUAAUGAAAGCUGAGAACUGAUACUCGUUUGUGAGCUGCAGUGAAGUUUUACUGCUUGUAAACGUUGUACACACACACACGCCUUUGUGAAGGACUACGUGAGCGCUGGAGUCUGUGAGGAUUACUCAGAUUAAUAAUGGUCUCUCUGCAUUUGAGGAAAACUCGUUUGAUGGCUGCAGAUGGUUCAAUAACUGGAGAUAAAAUAAUGUUGCAAGAAGAUGUGUAAACAUGCUGAUAGAGAAAGUUUUUAGAGGGGACCUUCUAUAUAUUUCCUACCCCCAGCACCAAUGCCUAGAAGAAAAGACUACUUGUAAGCAAGAGCUUUUGCAAAAAGAGCUGCUAGGAUUAUAGGACCCUGGAUUAAAACCAAGAGUUCCUGCCUGCUUUUUG
Long non-coding RNA from Nothoprocta perdicaria, 710 nucleotides. RefSeq lists it as uncharacterized. Lineage: Eukaryota; Metazoa; Chordata; Aves; Tinamiformes; Tinamidae. The transcript is spliced from 3 exons. The record is from RefSeq and is a predicted model, not a curated record.